RNAcentral lists this ribosomal RNA (496 nucleotides) under uncultured bacterium. RNAcentral describes it as "partial 16S ribosomal RNA". It matches the Rfam family "Bacterial small subunit ribosomal RNA", at positions 28 to 507 of the family's 1533-position model. The record is from RNAcentral.
GACGAACGCUGGCGGCGUGCUUAACACAUGCAAGUCGAACGGGCCUGACCUUUUUUGGGUCUGCUGCGUGGCGAACGGGUGAGUUACUCGUGAAUAACCUGCCAACUGCUCCUGGAUCACGCUCUUACAGGGGUACUAAUACGGGGUGUGCUGGUGCUGCCGCAUGGUGAUGCCGGGAUAGGUUCCCCUUUCUUUUGAGGCUCUGGCGGGGGAUGGGCUCGCGGCCUCUCAGUAUGUUGGUGGGGUGGUGGCCUCCCAAGGCGGUGACGGGUAGCCAGCCUGAGGGGGGGGACGGGGACACUGGGGCUGAGCCGCGGCCCAGACUCCUGCGGGAGGCAGCAGUGGGGGGUGUAGGGCGAUGGGCGGAAGCCUGACGCAGCGACGCCGCGUGAGUGACGGAGGCCUGCGGGAUGUGAGCCUCUUUCGCCGGUGGAGAAGGCUCCCCCGUGUGGAGUACUGACUGUAGCCAGGUGAAGAAGCGCCGGCUAACUACGUG